Molecule: ribosomal RNA, 434 nt
Filed under: uncultured Clostridium sp.
Lineage: Bacteria; Bacillati; Bacillota; Clostridia; Eubacteriales; Clostridiaceae
Description: partial 16S ribosomal RNA
Rfam family: Bacterial small subunit ribosomal RNA
Source: RNAcentral
ACGGGAGGCAGCAGUGGGGAAUAUUGCACAAUGGGGGAAACCCUGAUGCAGCGACGCCGCGUGAGUGAAGAAGUAUUUCGGUAUGUAAAGCUCUAUCAGCAGGGAAGAAAAUGACGGUACCUGACUAAGAAGCUCCGGCUAAAUACGUGCCAGCAGCCGCGGUAAUACGUAUGGAGCAAGCGUUAUCCGGAUUUACUGGGUGUAAAGGGAGCGUAGACGGCAAGGCAAGUCUGAAGUGAAAGCCUGGGGCUCAACCCCGGAACUGCUUUGGAAACUGUCUGGCUAGAGUGCAGGAGAGGUAAGUGGAAUUCCUAGUGCAGCGGUGAAAUGCGUAGAUAUUAGGAGGAACACCAGUGGCGAAGGCGGCUUACUGGACUGUAACUGACGUCGAGGCUCGAAAGCGUGGGGAGCGAACAGGAUUAGAUACCCUGGUA